UGCCAGCCGCCGCGGUAAUACGGAGGGAGCGAGCGUUAAUCGGAAUUACUGGGCGUAAAGCGCGCGUAGGCGGCUUUGUAAGUCGGAUGUGAAAGCCCAGGGCUCAACCCUGGAAUUGCAUUCGAUACUGCAUGGCUAGAGUAUGGUAGAGGGAAGUGGAAUUUCCGGUGUAGCGGUGAAAUGCGUAGAUAUCGGAAGGAACACCGGUGGCGAAGGCGGCACUCUGGACCGGUACUGACGCUGAGGCGCGAAAGCUAGGGGAGCAAACGGGAUUAGAUA
This 279-nucleotide ribosomal RNA is filed under the name uncultured bacterium. RNAcentral's name for it is "partial 16S ribosomal RNA". It matches the Rfam family "Bacterial small subunit ribosomal RNA", at positions 506 to 784 of the family's 1533-position model. The record is from RNAcentral.